AGUGAACGCUGGCGGUAGGCCUAACACAUGCAAGUCGAACGGCAGCACAGUAAGAGCUUGCUCUUACGGGUGGCGAGUGGCGGACGGGUGAGGAAUACAUCGGAAUCUACUUUUUCGUGGGGGAUAACGUAGGGAAACUUACGCUAAUACCGCAUACGACCUACGGGUGAAAGCAGGGGAUCUUCGGACCUUGCGCGAUUGAAUGGGCCGAUGUCGGAUUAGCUAGUUGGCGGGGUAAAGGCCCACCAAGGCGACGAUCCGUAGCUGGUCUGAGAGGAUGAUCAGCCACACUGGAACUGAGACACGGUCCAGACUCCUACGGGAGGCAGCAGUAGGGAAUAUUGGACAAUGGGCGCAAGCCUGAUCCAGCCAUACCGCGUGGGUGAAGAAGGCCUUCGGGUUGUAAAGCCCUUUUGUUGGGAAAGAAAAGCAGCAGGUUAAUACCCCGCUGUUCUGGCGGUACCCAAAGAAUAAGUACCGGCUAACUUCGUG
RNAcentral lists this ribosomal RNA (492 nucleotides) under uncultured bacterium. RNAcentral's name for it is "partial 16S ribosomal RNA". It matches the Rfam family "Bacterial small subunit ribosomal RNA", at positions 29 to 507 of the family's 1533-position model. The record is from RNAcentral.